This 203-nucleotide non-coding RNA is filed under the name Ruegeria sp. E923. The record is from RNAcentral. Lineage: Bacteria; Pseudomonadati; Pseudomonadota; Alphaproteobacteria; Rhodobacterales; Roseobacteraceae. RNAcentral also lists the same sequence under 2 other names.
UACAACUCUGCCCUACGAGGUGCUGUCCGGGCUUUCCGGACGGAGAAUUGGGAAGCCGGUGCGAUUCCGGCGCUGCCCCCGCAACGGUCAUGGGAUUCGCGGGCGUAACAUCUGCCACUGGGAGGAGGACCCGGGAAGGCGUUGCGCUCCGACCAGCAGGUCACCCCCAGAGCCCGGAAACCAGCCUCGGCAGAUAUCGUCAA